CUGGGAUGAACCGGGGAAUUGCAUUGGAAACUGGCGGGCUAGAGUACGGUAGAGGGUAGUGGAAUUCCUGGUGUAGCAGUGAAAUGCGUAGAGAUCAGGAGGAACAUCCGUGGCGAAGGCGACUACCUGGACCAGUACUGACACGGAGGCACGAAAGCGUGGGGAGCAAACAGG
RNAcentral lists this ribosomal RNA (174 nucleotides) under uncultured bacterium. RNAcentral describes it as "partial 16S ribosomal RNA". It matches the Rfam family "Bacterial small subunit ribosomal RNA", at positions 603 to 776 of the family's 1533-position model. The record is from RNAcentral.